This is a small nuclear RNA of Capra hircus (goat), 165 nucleotides long. Its record names the gene U1. It matches the Rfam family "U1 spliceosomal RNA". From Rfam's summary of the family: U1 is a small nuclear RNA (snRNA) component of the spliceosome (involved in pre-mRNA splicing). The record is from Ensembl. NCBI's taxonomy places the organism in Eukaryota, Metazoa, Chordata, Mammalia, Artiodactyla, Bovidae.
AUACUUACCUGGCAGGGCAGAUACUGUGAUCACGAAAGUGGUUCUCCCAGGGCUAGGCUCGCCCAUUGCCCUGCGGGUGUGUAGACCUCUGCGGUUUCCCCAAAAGCGGGAAACUCAACUGCAUAGUUUGUGAUAGUUGGGGACUGCGUGUGCAGCUUUCCCCUG